This 534-nucleotide ribosomal RNA is filed under the name Bacillus subtilis. Its description in RNAcentral is "bacterial SSU rRNA". It matches the Rfam family "Bacterial small subunit ribosomal RNA", at positions 68 to 584 of the family's 1533-position model. Lineage: Bacteria; Bacillati; Bacillota; Bacilli; Caryophanales; Bacillaceae. The record is from RNAcentral.
GGACAGAUGGGAGCUUGCUCCCUGAUGUUAGCGGCGGACGGGUGAGUAACACGUGGGUAACCUGCCUGUAAGACUGGGAUAACUCCGGGAAACCGGGGCUAAUACCGGAUGCUUGUUUGAACCGCAUGGUUCAAACAUAAAAGGUGGCUUCGGCUACCACUUACAGAUGGACCCGCGGCGCAUUAGCUAGUUGGUGAGGUAAUGGCUCACCAAGGCAACGAUGCGUAGCCGACCUGAGAGGGUGAUCGGCCACACUGGGACUGAGACACGGCCCAGACUCCUACGGGAGGCAGCAGUAGGGAAUCUUCCGCAAUGGACGAAAGUCUGACGGAGCAACGCCGCGUGAGUGAUGAAGGUUUUCGGAUCGUAAAGCUCUGUUGUUAGGGAAGAACAAGUACCGUUCGAAUAGGGCGGUACCUUGACGGUACCUAACCAGAAAGCCACGGCUAACUACGUGCCAGCAGCCGCGGUAAUACGUAGGUGGCAAGCGUUGUCCGGAAUUAUUGCGCGUAAGGGGCUCGCACGCGGUUUCUU